UCAUAUGCCUUAGUUACUUAAAGAACUCCAUAACCCAAAAGUUACAGACAAAACAUUCAUAUCUGAUGCCACUAAAUCCAGCACCAGUUGCCAGGGCCAUGAAUUCUUGUUCACUCCUCUCCUUCCC
Non-coding RNA from Prunus avium (sweet cherry), 127 nucleotides. Lineage: Eukaryota; Viridiplantae; Streptophyta; Magnoliopsida; Rosales; Rosaceae. The record is from RefSeq and is a predicted model, not a curated record.